CGUUUCGGUUUAGAUAAACCAUAGACCUAUUCACUUUAUAUCUAUGAUAAAACCAAGUGGCAUUUACUCAUUAAGGAUAAAAUUAAUCUAGAAAACAGGAUUUAUAACCAAGCUGCAGUUGCUGUUUAUUUCUGGGCUGCUAAACUUAACUUACUGUACAAUGCAUUAUUAUUCACUGACAACAAGAAAUUUCAUUUAAACUUUUCCAACAAAGGAGAUGGGUUAAUAUGACGAGCAAAAAGCCUUUUGCUUCACAAAGAUGAAGGUGAAAAACUGGAUUUUGCGUAAUAUUUCAUCUAACAUGAAUGUAUACUUUAUGUAAUAUCUACAACUUCAAAAAAUCUU
Long non-coding RNA from Saccostrea cuccullata (small rock oyster), 345 nucleotides. RefSeq lists it as uncharacterized. Lineage: Eukaryota; Metazoa; Mollusca; Bivalvia; Ostreida; Ostreidae. The transcript is spliced from 3 exons. The record is from RefSeq and is a predicted model, not a curated record.